UUAAGAGUAAGGGUGCUCAGCGCCCGACCUCCAACCCUUUGUUGUUAAAACUACCUUGUUGCUUUGGCGGGACCGCUCGGUCUCGAGCCGCUGGGGAUUCGUCCCAGGCGAGCGCCCGCCAGAGUUAAACCAAACUCUUGUUAUUAAACCGGUCGUCUGAGUUAAAAUUUUGAAUAAAUCAAAACUUUCAACAACGGAUCUCUUGGUUCUCGCAUCGAUGAAGAACGCAGCGAAAUGCGAUAAGUAAUGUGAAUUGCAGAAUUCAGUGAAUCAUCGAAUCUUUGAACGCACAUUGCGCCCCUUGGUAUUCCGAGGGGCAUGCCUGUUCGAGCGUCAUUACACCACUCAAGCUAUGCUUGGUAUUGGGUGCCGUCCUUAGUUGGGCGCGCCUUAAAGACCUCGGCGAGGCCUCACCGGCUUUAGGCGUAGUAGAAUUUAUUCGAACGUCUGUCAAAGGAGAGGACUUCUGCCGACUGAAACCUUUAUUUUUCUAGGUUGACCUCGGAUCAGGUAGGGAUACCCGCUGAACUUAAGCAUAUCA
RNAcentral lists this ribosomal RNA (541 nucleotides) under Aureobasidium pullulans. Its description in RNAcentral is "eukaryotic LSU rRNA". The stretch from base 183 to 336 matches the Rfam family "5.8S ribosomal RNA". Lineage: Eukaryota; Fungi; Ascomycota; Dothideomycetes; Dothideales; Saccotheciaceae. The record is from RNAcentral.